RNAcentral lists this ribosomal RNA (367 nucleotides) under uncultured organism. RNAcentral's name for it is "bacterial SSU rRNA". It matches the Rfam family "Bacterial small subunit ribosomal RNA", at positions 526 to 896 of the family's 1533-position model. The record is from RNAcentral.
CGUAGGUGGCAAGCGUUGUCCGGAUUUAUUGGGUUUAAAGGGUGCGUAGGCGGCUUUGUAAGUCAGUGGUGAAAUACUCCAGCUCAACUGGAGAGGUGCCAUUGAUACUGCAGAGCUAGAGUACUGAUGAGGUAGGCGGAAUGGACGGUGUAGCGGUGAAUGCUUAGAUAUCGUCCAGAACACCGAUAGCGAAGGCAGCUUACUAAAGAGUAACUGACGCUGAGGCACGAAAGUGUGGGGAUCAAACAGGAUUAGAUACCCUGGUAGUCCACACUGUAAACGUUGAUCACUAGAUGUUGGCGAUACACUGCCAGCGUUCCAGCAAAAGCGAUAAGUGAUCCACCUGGGGAGUACGCCCGCAAGGGUG